GAUGAACGCUGGCGGCAUGCCUAACACAUGCAAGUCGAACGGUAAGGCUCUUCGGAGUACACGAGAGGCGGACGGCUGAGUAACGCGUAGGAACACACCCUGCAGUGAGGGAUAAGACACCGAAAGGUGUUCUAAUACCGCAUACGGUCUUCGGAUUAAAGCAUUUAUGCGCUGAAGGAGUGGCCUGCGUCAUAUUAGAUGGUUGGUGAGGUAAUGGCUCACCAAGUCGAUGAUGUGUAGCUGGUCUGAGAGGAUGAUCAGCCAGACUGGAACUGAGACACGGUCCAGACUCCUACGGGAGGCAGCAGUGAGGAAUAUUUCACAAUGGGCGAAAGCUUGAUGGAGCACUGCCGCGUGAAGGAUGAAGGCCCUCGAGUUGUAAACUGCUUUUAUAAGAGAAGAUUAUGACGGUAACUUAUGAAUAAGGGACGGCUAACUACGUG
Molecule: ribosomal RNA, 443 nt
Filed under: uncultured bacterium
Lineage: Bacteria
Description: partial 16S ribosomal RNA
Rfam family: Bacterial small subunit ribosomal RNA
Source: RNAcentral